Molecule: non-coding RNA, 183 nt
Organism: Clostridium tepidiprofundi DSM 19306
Lineage: Bacteria; Bacillati; Bacillota; Clostridia; Eubacteriales; Clostridiaceae
Source: Rfam
UCCACCGUGAGGUGGAAUCUGAAAGAAGUUGGCGGCAAAACUCUGGUCUGACGAACAGGAACUACAUAUGAAGCAUAUGCUUGUGGGUAAGUUUGCAAAACAAAACAUUUCUUCCAUGCCCAAAGAAGGAAGAAACGGUGGAAAUGAAUAUGUUAGUGAAUUAUUUGAGCAAAUAUUAUCAAG